UUCCUUUUCACCAUGACCAGCCUUGUUCAGAACAUCUGAGAGGCACAGACCUGAGAAAGAAUCCCCAGGCUGAAGAGGUAGAAGUUGGCAGAAGUUAAAAAGCAAUGUCUCCACAAUGGAGAAGUGACAUGCUAAAGGAACCUGGCAUCCAGACAUUUCCUAACCCCCAAUCCCUCCUUACAUAUGACCUGCUCUUAGAGGAGUACAGCGUGGUGGUUAGGAGUAUGGACUCGGCAGCCAGAAAUCCUGGGAUCUGUUGCUUGUUAGCUGUGGGCCUUAAGCUAAGAACUUAACCUCUCUGUGCCUCAGUUGCUCCAUCUGUUCAAAUGAAGAUAACGAUAAUGAAGAUGAUAUCACCUGCUGUGUAGGAUUGUUAUGAAAAAUCAAGAAUUAAUAUUUGUAAAUCACUUACAGGGUCUGGCACAUAAUAAGUGCUGUGUGGGUGUUUGUUAAAUAAAAUAAUAUACAAUGACAUAGG
RNAcentral lists this long non-coding RNA (478 nucleotides) under Pan troglodytes (chimpanzee). Its description in RNAcentral is "lincRNA". The record is from RNAcentral. Lineage: Eukaryota; Metazoa; Chordata; Mammalia; Primates; Hominidae.